Long non-coding RNA from Ctenopharyngodon idella (grass carp), 360 nucleotides. RefSeq lists it as uncharacterized. The transcript is spliced from 3 exons. Lineage: Eukaryota; Metazoa; Chordata; Actinopteri; Cypriniformes; Xenocyprididae. The record is from RefSeq and is a predicted model, not a curated record.
AGUAGACCCUGUGACUUGCAAGUGUAACAAACAUGACUGCACCAAAAUCUGCACCCCAGUCUGCACCCCCGUCUGCACCUCACAUGGAAACUCGAACACAGGUUGUCCGAAAAUCCCAUCUGUUAAUCUCAAGGAGAGGUGUAAAAAAGCUAAAUAUGACAAUGAUACAUGCAGAGAGAAUGAAGGAAGCAAAUACAUUCUGCGUUCAAACGGGAGUGAAUGGAGGUGUGUGACCUGCAAUGAGACAUCUACUGCUUGUAGUCAAGCAAACAAAACCGCCUGUUUCAAACUACCUGAGACAACUUACAAUGUAACAUCAGAAGAUCCAAAGGACAAGGACGGAUUUAUUAAUCCCUCAAA